AACGAACGCUGGCGGCAUGCCUAACACAUGCAAGUCGAACGAGACCUUCGAGUCUAGUGGCGCACGGGUGCGUAACGCGUGGGAACCUGCCCUUAGGUUCGGAAUAACUCCCCGAAAGGGGUGCUAAUACCGGAUAAUGUCUUCGGACCAAAGAUUUAUCGCCUUUGGAUGGGCCCGCGUUGGAUUAGCUAGUUGGUAGGGUAAAAGCCUACCAAGGCGACGAUCCAUAGCUGGUCUGAGAGGAUGAUCAGCCACACUGGGACUGAGACACAGCCCAGACUCCUACGGGAGGCAGCAGUGGGGAAUAUUGGACAAUGGGCGAAAGCCUGAUCCAGCAAUGCCGCGUGAGUGAUGAAGGCCUUAGGGUUGUAAAGCUCUUUUACCCGGGAUGAUAAUGACAGUACCGGGAGAAUAAGCUCCGGCUAACUCCGUG
Molecule: ribosomal RNA, 433 nt
Filed under: uncultured bacterium
Lineage: Bacteria
Description: partial 16S ribosomal RNA
Rfam family: Bacterial small subunit ribosomal RNA
Source: RNAcentral